AUUGAACGCUGGCGGAAUGCUUUACACAUGCAAGUCGAACGGCAGCACGGGGGCAGCCCUGGUGGCGAGUGGCGAACGGGUGAGUAAUACAUCGGAACGUGCCCGGUCGUGGGGGAUAACGUAGCGAAAGUUACGCUAAUACCGCAUACGAUCUGAGGAUGAAAGCGGGGGACCUUCGGGCCUCGCGCGAUCGGAGCGGCCGAUGUCAGAUUAGGUAGUUGGUGGGGUAAAGGCCUACCAAGCCGACGAUCUGUAGCUGGUCUGAAUGGACGACCAGCCACCCUGGAACUGAAACACGGCCCAGACUCCUACGGGAGGCAGCAGUGGGGAAUUUUGGACAAUGGGCGCAAGCCUGAUCCAGCCAUUCCGCGUGCAGGACGAAGGACUUCGGGUUGUAAACUGCUUUUGUACGGAACGAAAAGGCUCUGGCUAAUACCUGGGGCUCAUGACGGUACCGUAAGAAUAAGCACCGGCUAACUACGUG
This 484-nucleotide ribosomal RNA is filed under the name uncultured bacterium. RNAcentral describes it as "partial 16S ribosomal RNA". It matches the Rfam family "Bacterial small subunit ribosomal RNA", at positions 30 to 507 of the family's 1533-position model. The record is from RNAcentral.